This 660-nucleotide ribosomal RNA is filed under the name Triticum aestivum (bread wheat). RNAcentral describes it as "partial small subunit ribosomal RNA". The record is from RNAcentral. Lineage: Eukaryota; Viridiplantae; Streptophyta; Magnoliopsida; Poales; Poaceae.
AUGAAAGCACUCUACGCCGUUAUGUACAACACAUCAUGUGAGGUGGCUGAAAAUGUGUUAAAACAACAUGGUUUUGAUGCUCGUCGUGUCCUUCAAAAAUCGUGGCAUGAUGUGACCGAGUCAUACCUAGUGGAGGCAAAGUGGCACCAUGGAAACCACAAACCAACACUUCAAGGGUACCUCAAUAAUGGAUCAGUUACGUCCACUGGGCCUCUGCUGCUACAACAUGUGUUUCCCCUACUCGGCAUGGAAGGAAAACUCACCUCAGAAUCUCCUGAUAAAGUUGGAAGAUACACGAGAUUAGUUCAUUCUGUGUCAUUAAUAGUUCGACUUUGCAACGACUCUGCGACACACUCUGCCGAGCUAGAGAGAGGGGAUGUACCAUCUUCGAUAGCUAUCCACAUGUCAGAGAAUAACUCUGGUGAGAAAGAUUUCCGUGAUGCCAUGGAAGACCUUAUAAUGGAUGCUUGGAAGUCAAUUAACAUAGACGCCUUCGAACAUUAUAAAUUUUCUAGACAUUUUGCCAAGACUUGUGUAAAUUUGGCCCGAAUUUCGCAUUGUGUUUACCGAGAUGGGGAUGGUUUUGGGGAACCGGAUUAUCAGAAGAAAAGGCAAAUCAGAGAAUUGUUCUUGGCGCCUAUCAACAAUGAGAAACAAUAA